RNAcentral lists this ribosomal RNA (309 nucleotides) under Triticum aestivum (bread wheat). Its description in RNAcentral is "partial small subunit ribosomal RNA". The record is from RNAcentral. Lineage: Eukaryota; Viridiplantae; Streptophyta; Magnoliopsida; Poales; Poaceae.
CUUUUUGUGCACUGUCAGUUCACUCAGCAUGUGUGGAGGAUCUUCAGGGAUUGGUCUAAUGCGAACUUCCCUAUACCAGAUGGCAGCUUUCGUAGCACUAAGGAGUGGUGGUUGCAGGCUCGUUCUGAUGCACCCAAGCACAUGCGCCGCAAUUUCGACACCGUUGCAAUACUUAUCUACUGGAGGAUUUGGAAAGAACGUAAUGCAAGAAUUUUUUAUCAGGUGGCUAGCAGCACGGACAUGGUGCUGGACCUUGUGAGAAAAGAAUUGCAAACCUGGAGGGCGGCAGGCUUGAUUCCUGGAAUCUGA